GAUGAACGCUGGCGGCGUGCCUAAUACAUGCAAGUCGAGCGAACGGACGAGAAGCUUGCUUCUCUGAUGUUAGCGGCGGACGGGUGAGUAACACGUGGAUAACCUACCUAUAAGACUGGGAUAACUUCGGGAAACCGGAGCUAAUACCGGAUAAUAUUUUGAACCGCAUGGUUCAUAAGUGAAAGACGGUCUUGCUGUCACUUAUAGAUGGAUCCGCGCUGCAUUAGCUAGUUGGUAAGGUAACGGCUUACCAAGGCAACGAUGCAUAGCCGACCUGAGAGGGUGAUCAGCCACACUGGAACUGAGACACGGUCCAGACUCCUACGGGAGGCAGCAGUAGGGAAUCUUCCGCAAUGGGCGAAAGCCUGACGGAGCAACGCCGCGUGAGUGAUGAAGGUCUUCGGAUCGUAAAACUCUGUUAUUAGGGAAGAACAUAUGUGUAAGUAACUGUGCACAUCUUGACGGUACCUAAUCAGAAAGCCACGGCUAACUACGUG
RNAcentral lists this ribosomal RNA (497 nucleotides) under uncultured bacterium. RNAcentral describes it as "partial 16S ribosomal RNA". It matches the Rfam family "Bacterial small subunit ribosomal RNA", at positions 28 to 507 of the family's 1533-position model. The record is from RNAcentral.